RNAcentral lists this ribosomal RNA (473 nucleotides) under Escherichia coli. RNAcentral's name for it is "bacterial SSU rRNA". It matches the Rfam family "Bacterial small subunit ribosomal RNA", at positions 1 to 470 of the family's 1533-position model. The record is from RNAcentral. Lineage: Bacteria; Pseudomonadati; Pseudomonadota; Gammaproteobacteria; Enterobacterales; Enterobacteriaceae.
AAAUUGAAGAGUUUGAUCAUGGCUCAGAUUGAACGCUGGCGGCAGGCCUAACACAUGCAAGUCGAACGGUAACAGGAAUCAGCUUGCUGUUUCGCUGACGAGUGGCGGACGGGUGAGUAAUGUCUGGGAAACUGCCUGAUGGAGGGGGAUAACUACUGGAAACGGUAGCUAAUACCGCAUAAUGUCGCAAGACCAAAGAGGGGGACCUUCGGGCCUCUUGCCAUCGGAUGUGCCCAGAUGGGAUUAGCUAGUAGGUGGGGUAACGGCUCACCUAGGCGACGAUCCCUAGCUGGUCUGAGAGGAUGACCAGCCACACUGGAACUGAGACACGGUCCAGACUCCUACGGGAGGCAGCAGUGGGGAAUAUUGCACAAUGGGCGCAAGCCUGAUGCAGCCAUGCCGCGUGUAUGAAGAAGGCCUUCGGGUUGUAAAGUACUUUCAGCGGGGAGGAAGGGAGUAAAGUUAAUACCUUU